This 1369-nucleotide unclassified non-coding RNA is filed under the name Hevea brasiliensis (rubber tree). Lineage: Eukaryota; Viridiplantae; Streptophyta; Magnoliopsida; Malpighiales; Euphorbiaceae. The record is from RNAcentral.
GGCAAAAUAAGCAAGGUUGCUUAUAGAAAAGCACUGCAGCCCCUGAUAAGGGAUUGACAACACUACUCUUUAUCACUUGGUGAACACAGACUGAGAAAAUAGCCUACUAUGCUACAUUACGCCACAUAAAUUUUAUAUAAAUAUUGUGCAAAGCCAAUAACCACUUCUUGAUGCCUCAGAUCACAACUUCUUCUGAGUUGUUUUAGCACGCACUAAAUCAGAUACUGAUAACAUUCCAGUUUUACCAACGUCAAGAACUUCAAAUUCUUUCAUUGCAACAGAGAUAUCUCCUUGCCCAAUCUUCCCCUUCUCUUUAAGCUUCGAUAUGAUGAACUCAGCAGACACUCUGUCAUUGUCAAUUUUGUCAGUCUCCAGAUCAAGAUUGGUCAUCCUCCAGGUAAGAAUCCAAUUAACCAGUGCCUUUUGUCUGCUUUCAGUGAAUAGCUCGGCAACGUAGAGAUAAAACUGGCCCAUACCAAGAGUACUGCUCAGUAUCCAAAAUAUACCAAAAGCACGCCCACCUGCAGUUGAGAAGCUCUUAUCUCCAAAGCCUAGGGUCGAGACAGUUGAACAGACACAAAAUAAGGCAUCAAUGAUGUUCAAAUCCUCAACUGCAAAUAAGAAUAUGGUUCCAAUCAUCAUAAGCACUGAAAGAACGGCCAUGGCCAUAAGGCACUUGAACAUCGGUUUGUUGAAUUCUGUCUCCUCUUUGAUUUUAGAUGGAUCAUUUUUUUUAUGCUUAUUUAGAGCUUUCUCCAGCAUCAUUUCCUGCUUCUCUGCCAAGUAAUCUGCAACUUUGUUCAUUAUUAAUCCCACAAGUGCCAUCCCUGUGAAGACAAAAACACAGACAAGUAUCUUUACAAGGGUAGUAUCAGGCGUUAGGUCUCCAUAUCCAACAGUGGUCAUUGUCACAACACAGAAAUAUAAGGCAUCAAGAAUUGGACUUGUUUUCUUCCCCUUGAGGUCAUCCACGACAAAGUAAAAGCAUAAGGUGCCAACACCCAAAUAGACCGCCAAGAACACAGCCACUUCCGUGAAACUGGUGUGCAGUUUCCCAAAAAUGGAUUCAGCACUUGGAAGUUUGCCGCCAAAUUCUGAAGAAACAAACUUUGCCAGAGGAGCACUUUUAAAAUUGAGAAAUUUUCUUUUGUUAGGAGCACGUGCAUUAUUUGUGUGAAGGUUAGGAUUCACUAAUCCAGACAUCAAGGGCUGUUUUGCACCAUUCGACGCCAUUAAGAGUCUUUGGAGACCUGGUUCGUGUCAGUUUAGGAGCUAAGUUUAGAACUCUCACUAACAGGCUCGAUACACCUACCUCCACUGCGAUUGACCUUCCUGAAACUGCUCAGCAAGAGUUACUGGUGGAAGCAGG